Molecule: long non-coding RNA, 995 nt
Filed under: Sinocyclocheilus grahami
Lineage: Eukaryota; Metazoa; Chordata; Actinopteri; Cypriniformes; Cyprinidae
Description: lncRNA (ENSSGRG00000001123.1)
Source: RNAcentral
GUUCAUUUUAACAAAAUAUAAUUAAAAUGUUACGUGUUACUUCCCUAACACGUCUACUACUUAAGCAAACGUUGAUCACACUACAAACAAUACAAAACUGCUAUAAGAAACAGAAAAUAUGAAUUCAUUGUUUACCUGAGUCUUCAGUCUAUGAUUAGCUCACCAGCUCUUAUCUGACAAGUCUUCGGGUUUGGGCUUAUGGGGCUGUCACGUGAUGAACGAACGACUCGGAAAAACCCGAAGACUCGAACCAGGUGAACUACUUGACUAAUUCCAGUACAGAACCUAUAGGAUGUUGCGCAUGCGCGACUGAACGAAUCGCUCCCCGAUACGACUCGUUCUUCCCGAGUCACAUUAAAGAUUCGUUCAAAACGAACGAAUCGUUCAAUAACGACCCAACCACUACUCGUUGUUCUCACUGAGUCCUCUUGUGUUUCCAUGCUAUGUCUCGGUCUGACACUGCUUUUUUUAAACCCUAUAUCGCGAAAUUAUUUACUUUAAGCUUCUGUUUUGACAUACAGGUGUUGGCACGGCCACAGACAGAGGCUUCAAACAGCUGAGCUGCAGCGACAUCGCGUGGUUGAUUAUGUAACAGGCGAACCCAGUGACCCUCGGAUUCAUCGAGACUUACUAGGAACUGGUCAAUUAACUUGUGAACUUGUUGCCUGACCUGCAUUCAGCAAUCAUGUUUCCCUGUUGGACUUUUGUGAUACAGAACAAAGUGGGAGGCAGGACCACGUGUACUCUACCCCCUCGCAGGAAAGUCAGUUGUUAUAACUUCAAGCAGCGGGCACUUUUAUGGACCUUUGAACCGGUCCGCUGACCACUAUUUUAUUUGUGUUGUAAAAUAUCAUACUUUGACCCUCUUACUUUUUAUUUCAGAGGUACUAACUCAAGUUAAUUGGACUGUUUUGUAAAUCACUGGAUGUCUAAGAUGUGUGUGUGUGUGUAUGUAAUAAAAUAUACAAAAUAUGCUAUAUAUAUAUAUAUAUAUA